AUUGGAUCAAGGAUGCGCUAAUGGACGACACGGAUGACAAGGUAAGUGACAUCGUACAUGCUCUGGGUGUCUUGAGGAGCUUGUCUUUGGAUGAUGCUGAGCAGGUCUUUCUUUCUGGUAACGGUUAUCAUUACAGUGAAGUAAAAGAAUUUAACAGACAGAUUGACAAACAACUGACAAAAGAAGAGAGACCAUUUAAUAGAGGACUUCUAGAUGUAUCCAUAAUCCUGGACCAGACCGCAUCACGAGCAGAUGCAGUGGUGGUCAUGGAGAAGUGGAGAGCAUGAUACUGAUUAAUGAAAGACCCCAGUGACAGAUGAGUGCCCACAUUGAUCCUGUGGUCCAGCCUGAAAACCCGCUGGUGCCCUACUCACACCAGCAGCUUC
Danio rerio (zebrafish) is the source of this 386-nucleotide non-coding RNA. NCBI's taxonomy places the organism in Eukaryota, Metazoa, Chordata, Actinopteri, Cypriniformes, Danionidae. The record is from Ensembl.